Non-coding RNA from Papio anubis (olive baboon), 47 nucleotides. NCBI's taxonomy places the organism in Eukaryota, Metazoa, Chordata, Mammalia, Primates, Cercopithecidae. The record is from Rfam.
ACUUCGGUUUUUUUAAAAAUCACAAAACAUUUAAAUAAGAUUAUCUU